UGGAGGAAAGCAGGGGAUCGUAAGACCUUGCGCUUUUGGAGUGGCCGAUGCCUGAUUAGCUAGUUGGUAGGGUAAUGGCUUACCAAGGCGACGAUCAGUAGUUGGUCUGAGAGGACGACCAGCCACACUGGGACUGAGACACGGCCCAGACUCCUACGGGAGGCAGCAGUGGGGAAUUUUGGACAAUGGGCGAAAGCCUGAUCCAGCAAUGCCGCGUGAGUGAAGAAGGCCUUCGGGUUGUAAAGCUCUUUCAGUCGAGAAGAAAAGGUUGUGACUAAUAAUCACAACUCAUGACGGUAUCGACAGAAGAAGCACCGGCUAACUACGUGCCAGCAGCCGCGGUAAUACGUAGGGUGCGAGCGUUAAUCGGAAUUACUGGGCGUAAAGGGUGCGCAGGCGGCUUUGUAAGCCAGAUGUGA
RNAcentral lists this ribosomal RNA (419 nucleotides) under uncultured ammonia-oxidizing beta proteobacterium. Its description in RNAcentral is "bacterial SSU rRNA". It matches the Rfam family "Bacterial small subunit ribosomal RNA", at positions 197 to 597 of the family's 1533-position model. Lineage: Bacteria; Pseudomonadati; Pseudomonadota; Betaproteobacteria. The record is from RNAcentral.